GGGGCAGAGUUUGUUAAGUGUGUCCAGGAUGGAUUCCUGUCACAGUAUGUUGACAGGCCGACUAGGGGGAAUGCCAUUCUAGAUUGAGUAUUAGGUAAUGAACUGGGUCUGGUCACAGAUCUGGCAGUGGGUGAGCAUCUGGGGGAUAGUGGUCAGUGCUCCCUGACCUUUAGCAUUAUCAUGGAAAAGGAUCAAAUCAGAGAGGAUAGGAAAAUUUUUAAUUGGGGAAGGGCAAAUUAUGAGGCUAUAAGGCAAGAACUUGCGGGUGUGAAGUGGGAUGAUGUUUUUUCAGGGAAGUGUACUAUGGACAUGUGGUCGAUGUUUUAUGGAUCUCUUACAGGAUGUUAGGGAUAAAUUUGUCCUGCUGAGGAAGAUAAAGGGUGAAGGAACCAUGGGUGACAAGUGAAGUGGAAAAUCUAGUCAGGUGGAAGACAGCAUACAUGAGGUUUAGGAAGCAAGGAUCAGAUGGGUCUAUUGAGGAAUAUAGGGUAGCAAGAAAGCUUAAGAAGGGGCUGAGAAGAGCAAGAAGGGGGCAUGAGAAGGCCUUGGCGAGUAGGGUAAAGGAAAACUCCAAGGCAUUCUUCAAUUAUGUGAAGAACAAAAAGAUGACAGGAGUGAAGGAUUAGAGAUAAAAGUGUGAAGAUGUGCCUGGAGGCUGUGGAAGUGAGCGAGGUCCUCAAUGAAUACUUCUCUUCAGUAUUCACCACUGAGAGGGAACUUGAUGAUGGUGAGGACUAUAUGAGUGAGGUUGAUGUUCUGGAGCAUGUUGAUAUUAAGGGAGAGGAGGUGUUGGAGUUAUUAAAAUACAUUAGGACCGAUAAAUCCCCGGGGCCUUACAGAAUAUUCCCCAGGCUGCUCCAUGAGGCAUGGGAAGAGAUUGCUGAACCCCUGGCUAGGAUCUUUAUGUCCUUGUUGUCCACGGGAAUGGUACCAGAGGAUUGGAGGGAGGCAAAUAUUGUCCCCUUGUUCAAAAAAGGUAGUAGGGAUAGUCCAGGUAAUUAUAGACCAGUGAGCCUUACGUCUGUGGUGGAAAAGCUGUUGGAAAAGAUUCUUAGAGAUAGGAUCUAUGGGCAUUUAGAGAAUCAUGGUCUGAUCAGGGACAGUCAGCAUGGCUUUGUGAAGGGCAGAUCGUGUCUAACGAGCCUGAUAGAGUUCUUUGAGGAGGUGACCAGGCAUAUAGAUGAGGGUAGUGCAGUGGAUGUGAUCUACAUGGAUUUUAGUAAGGCAUUUGACAAGGUUCCACAUGGUAGGCUUAUUCAGAAAGUCAGAAGGCAUAGGAUGCAGGGAAGUUUGGCCAGGUGGAUUCAGAAUUGGCUUGCCUGCAGAAGGCAGAGGGUCGUGAUGGAGGGAGUACAUUCAGAUUGGAGGGUUGUGGCUAGUGGUGUCCCACAAGGAUCUGUUCUGGGACCUCUACUUUUCAUGAUUUUUAUUAACGACCUGGAUGUGGGGGUAGAAGGGUGGGUUGGCAAGUUUGCAGAUGGCACAAAGGUUGGUGGUGGUGUAGAUAAUGUAGAGGUUUGUCGAAGAUUGCAGAGAGACAUUGAUAGGAUGCAGAAGUGGGCUGAGAAGUGGCAGAUGGGGUUCAACCCAGAGAAGUGUGAGGUGGUACACUUUGGAAGGACAAACUCCAAGGCAGAGUACAAAGUAAAUGGCAGGAUUCUUGGUAGUGUGGAGGAGCAGAGAGAUCUGGGGGUACAUGUCCACAGAUCCCUGAAAGUUGCCUCACAGGUAGAUAGGGUAGUUAAGAAAGCUUAUGGGGUGUUAGCUUUCAUAAGUCGAGGGAUAGAGUUUAAGAGACGUGAUGUAAUGAUGCAGCUCUAUAAAGCUCUAGUUAGGCCACACUUGGAGUACUGUGCCCAGUUUUGGUCGCCUCAGUAUAGGAAGGAUGUGGAAGCAUUGGAAAGGGUACAGAGGAGAUUUACUGGGAUAGAAAGAUCCCACUACUAAGCACAUUUUUCCCUCCCCCCCCCCCUUCUGCUUUUCACAGGGAUCGCUCCCUACGCGACUCCCUUGUCCACUUAUCCCCCCCAUCCCUUCCUACCGAUCUCCUUCCUGGCACUUAUUCUUGUAAACGGAACAAGUGCUGCACCUGCCCUUACACUUCCUCCCUCACCACCAUUCAGGGCCCCAGACAGUCCUUCCAGGUGAGGCGACACUUCACCUGUGAGUCGGCUAGUGUGGUAUACUGCGUCCGGUGCUCCCGGUGUGUUAUAUAUUGGUGAGACGCAACGCAGACUGGGAGACCAUUUCGCUGAACACCUACACUCGGUCCGCCAGAGAAAGCAGGAUCUCCCAGUGGCCACACAUUUUAAUUCCAUGUUCCAUUCCCAUUCUGAUAUGUCUAUCCAUGGUCUCCUCUAUUGUCAAAAUUAAUCCAAACUCAGGUUGGAGGAACAACACCUUAUAUACCGGCUGGGUAGCCUCCAACCUGAUGGCAUGAACAUUGCCUUCUCUAACUUAUGUUAAUGCCCUUCCUCCCCUUCUUACCCCAUCCCUGACAUAUUUAGUUGUUUGCCUGUUCUCCAUCUCCCUCUGGUGUUCUGCCCCCGACCCCUUUCUUUCUCCCAAGUCCUCCCGUCCCAUGAUCCUUUUCAUUCUCCAGCUCUGUAUCACUUUUGCCAAUCACCUUUCCAGUUCUUAGUUUCAGCCCACCCCUCCCCCCACUACUUUCAAAUCUCUUACUAUCUUUCCUUUCAGUUAGUCCUGACGAAGGGUCUUGGCCGGAAACGUCAACAGUGCUUCUCCCUAUAGAUGCUGCCUGGCCUGCUGUGUUUCACCAGCAUUUUGUAUGUGUCGUUGUUUGAAUUUCCAGCAUCUGCAGAUUUCCUCGUGUUUGCCUUGGAGCGAUGGUGGUCAGCUUGACGCUUGAUCUUAGCAGAGACACAGAGAAGGGCAGAGCGAGUGUGCCUCUACGUCUGCUGACAAUGGUGGAUGAAUGCCUCAGCAGAUGGAACACCAACCUCUUCCUCCUGGGCAGGAAACAGUGGUGGUUGGUAACCAAGGCAGCACUCUUAAGUGGGACAGACCGAUGGAUGAGAAUUCAUGGCGUACUCGGCCCAGGGUAGCUGUUGACUGGCCUGCUCAGUCUGGCCAUUGGUCUGUGGGUGGAAUUCUGAAGACAGACUCACAGAGGCACCCAGAAUAUUACAGAGUGCCCUCCAGUAGUUUGAUGUGAAUUGUGAGCCCCUGUCUGACACAACAUCUACAGGUAAACCAUGUAAUUUCAAGUCAAGUCACUUUCAUUUAGGUUUAAUAUUGUCAUUUAAAGUAAAAUUGGAUAGGUAUAUGGACAGGAAAGAAAUGGAGGGUUAUGGGCUGAGUGCAGGUCAGUGGGACUAGGUGAGUAAGCGUUCGGCAUGGACUAGAAGGGCCAAGAUGGCCUGUUUCCAUGCUGUAAUUGUUAUAUGGUUAUAUGGCCAUUGUCAUUUUGACCAUAACUGCUGGUACAGUACAUAGUAAAAAUGAGACUUUUUUCAGGACCAUGGUGUUACAUGAUACAGUACAAAAACUAGACUGAACUACAUAAAAAAACAACACAGAGAAAGAAAACAACUACACUAGACCACAGACCUACCCAGGACUGCAUAAAGUACACAAAACAAUGCAGGCAUUACAAUAAAUAAUAAACAGCACAAUAGCGCUGUAAAGUCUCAAUCCAGGCUCUGGGUAUUGAGGAAUCUGAUAACUUGGGGGAAGAAACUGUUACAUAGUCUGGUCAUGAGAGUCUGAAUGCUUCAGUGCCUUUUCCCAGAUGGCAGGAGGGAGAAGAGUUUGUAUGAGUGGUGCAUGGGGUCCUCCAUAAUGCUGUUUGCUUUGCGGGUGCAGCAUGUAGCGUAAGUGUCCGUGAUGGUGGGAAGAGAGACCCCAAUUAUCUCAGCUGACCUCACUGUCCGCUGCAGGGUCUUGCGAUCCGAGAUGGUGCAAUUUCUGAAUCAGGCACUGAUGCAGCUGCUCAGGAUGCUCUCGAUACAUCCUCUGUAGAAUGCGGUGAGGAUGGGGGGUGGGAGAUGGACUUUUCUCGGCCUUCGCAGAAAGUAGAGAUGCUGCUGGGCUUUUUUUGCUAUGGAGCUGAUGUUGAGGGACCAGGUGAGAUUCUCCGCCAGGUGAACACCAAGAAAUCUGGUGCUUUUAACAAUGUCAAUGGAGGAGCCGUCAAUGUUCAGCAGAGUGGUCACUCCGUGCUCUCCUGAAGUCAACAACCAUCUCUUUUGUUUUGUUCACAUUCAGAGACAGGUUGUUGGCUCUGCACCAGUCUGUUAGCCGCUGCACCUCUCUGUAUGCUGACUCGUUGUUCUUGCUGAUGUGACCCACUACAGUCAUGCCAUCGACGAACUUGAUGAUGUGGUUUGAUCUGUGUAAACACAGAUUGGUUCAGCAUGUCCCUGAGAACAUCAUUUACCAGGGCCUGGAAGACAGCAGGGACAUCAGCGAGACCGAAUGGCAUGACCAGAUACUCGUAAUAACUUGAGGUGGUGUUGAAAGCCGUCUUCCACUCAUCCCCUUCACAGAUGUGAACAAGAUGGUAGACAUUUUGGAGAUCAAGCUUGGUGAAAACUGAGGCUCCUUGCAGUAUUUCAAAUGCCGAGGUCAUGAGUGGACAAGGAUAAUGGUUCUCAAGUGACUUCGUUCAGUCCCCGGUAAUCAAUACAUGGACGUAAGGAGCCGUCCUUCUUUUCAACAAAGAAAAACUCAGCACCAGCAGGGGAGGAAGACGGCCGGAUGAUGCCUGCAGCCAGAGACUCCUGAAUGUACUUACUCACGGCUUCCGUUUCAGGUACUGUCAGGGACAGGGCGGCCCCUUGGGGGAGAUGUGUCAGGCAAGAGGUCAAUGGCACAAUCAUAUGGACAAUGAGGUGACGGGGAAGUGGCCUGGGACUUGCUAAACACAGCCUUGAGGUCCAUGUAUUCUGGAGGGAUGGCACUAAGGCCCGGAAAUUCCUUGGGGGGGUGGGGGUCUGAGUAUGGCGGAGGCAGUGGGAGUGACGGAAUGGGUUCCAGCCUACAAUCUUGCAACUGAGCCAGUCAAUGUGAGGGUUGUGUUUAACAAACCAGGGAUGGCCCAGGACUAGAUCUUCAACAGCCCGUGUACACCACAGUUCUUUCCCUUUCUCGUUGGAAUAUACCUAUGCAGAAUGCCACUGUGAUGAGAUCUGAAGGAUUAUUCUAAGUGGACUGUUCCUUUAAAAAGAGAGAGAGGGAGCGAACAGCGGGUGUACUAUUACAGGGAGAGAGAGAGAGAGCAACAAAAAGUCUGUGAGCUGCCUUGGAAACUGAAAGGUGGAACUGUAUGAUUGACAGCUAAUGUUCAGCACUUGUGAGAUAUAUACAAGGUCAGUUGGCUUUGUAAUCAGACGCACCAGACACAAGGAAGACACUGGUGGAGCUUUGUGUGCCCACGACAAAGGUGGAAUGCUAUUGGUGUGUUUAACCCUUGCCUGGGUUGAUAGUGGUACCACGUGAAAACGGCAUCUUCUUUUUGUGGUCACAGUUGGUGACUAAGUUCAGGAGCAGGAGGACAAUGUGGAAGAUCAACAGCAUCAGCACUGGGAAGACAAAACAUCUCCCUCUCUCUCCAACUCUACUCAAAUCAAAUUCCACAACUGAACUGACUACUUACCAUACCACCAUAAGACUGUAUCAUUUAUCACCUGAGCUGGGAGAAGCUUAGGAACUUUAUUUACUCACUUAUAUAUGCAUAUACUUUGCUAACCUGUUUACCUUAUCUUGGUUUAUAUUACUUUUAUCACAUAGUUUCUAAUAAAAUAGAGUUUAUAACAGCAGACUCAGACUCCAGGUGUGUCCAUUUCUGCUGGUUCUUUUUAACCCGUUACGGGGUACAUAACACCACUCAAAUAUCCCCUGAACAUUUGCCACAAUUCUGCUGUACAUUUCCCUGAGAAAAUCUGUUCCCAAUUUACGCUUCCAAGUUCCUGCCUGAUAGCUUCAUAUUUCCCCUUACUCCAAUUAAACACUUUACUAACUUGUCUGUUCCUAUUCCUCUCCAAUGCUAUGGUAAAGGAGAUAGAAUUGUGAUCACUAUGUCCAAGAAUGCUCUCCCACCUAACACUUGACACCUAACCAGGUUCAUUUCCCAAUACCAGAUCAAGUACAGCCACUCCUCUUGUAGGCUGAUCUACAAAUUGUGUCAAGAAAUCUCGGGAGAUGCCAAUCAAUAUUUGGAAAAUUAAAAUCUCCCACCACGACAAUCCUGUUUUUACUCCUUUCCAGAAUCUGUCUCCCUAUCUGCUCCUCGAUGUCCCUGUUACUAUUGGGUGAUCUAUAUAAAAAAAACCCUUCCUGACCCCUUCGUUUCUGACUUCUGCACACAGAGACUCCAUAGACAAUCCCUCCAUGAGUUCCUCCUUUUCUGCAGCCAUGACACUAUCUCUGAUCAGCAAUGCCACAACCCCACCUCUUUUGCCUCCCUCCCUGGCAUUUCUGAAACAUCUAAAGCCUGGCACUCUAAGUAUCCAUUCCUGUCCCUGAGCCAUCCAAGGCCACAACAUCAUAGCUCCAAAUAUUGAUCCACGCUUUUAAGCUCAUCCACUUUGUUCAUGAUCCUUCUUGCAUUAAAAUAAACACAUCUGAAAGAAAGGGGAGGGAAGACUUUCAUGUGCAUUGCUCACCAGUGUUACUGUAGCUGGUCACACACCAUGGGAAGGAUGUUGCCUGAACUGGAGACUUUAACAGACUGUCUGUUUACCCUUUAGUGAAGGAAGCUGAGGGGACAUGUGUCACAACUAUUUCAGAUUUUGAGAGGCACAAAGGAGCCAAUGGAAAAGACAGUGCACAAUCGUUUGACAGAAUGCCGACUUUCGGAGCUGGGCUGUCCACCCAGUUAGGACAGUGGGAAGGGAGGCGGCCUGCAAACUGAGCCCUCCAACUCACAGAUACCAGCAGCAGAGGCAGGCAUCUUGUUUUAGCAAGAGUCUCACCAGCUGAGGGUGUCCAUUACAUCCACUGUUCAUUAGUUUAAUCCAAAGCAGGCACUGGGGAGAUUACAGGAAGAUUAAAGACAUUAGCUUCAUUUGUUACAAGUACAUUGAAAUGCAUUGUUUGUGUCAAUGACCAACGCAGUCUGAAAAAUUGCUGCGGGCAGCCCACAAGUGUUAUCACUUUUCUGGCACCGACAGAGUAUGCCCACCACUCACCAACCCUGGCCCGUACGUCUCUGGGAUGUGGGAGGAAACCCACACAGUCAUGGGAAGAACAUACAAACUCCUGACAGGUAGAGGUGCAACUGAACCCCAAUAACUGCGUCUAUAACAGUGUCAUAUUAACCGCUACAAUGACCCUAGCUUCACAGUGUGGUCAGCAUUCUUCGAUAAAGAGGAGUAAUGUGUGGGGACCUUGAAGUAAUUCUUUCCUACUUGCAUUACUUUUUAAGUUAAAGGAAUAUCAGGGUACUCCGUCCCAUGUGCUGUGCAUCCUGGAGCAGCUGGGAACUGAUAGACCUGCUGGUGAUCUGAAUGGCCUCGUUGGUGAGGUCUGAUGUGCUGGGUGUUGGAACUGACUGAACUGUCAGAUGGAGUCCAUGUACAUGCACCUUGUGAAACGUGGAUCACAUGUUUUAUACGGUGAAGUUAGACAGAUGUUUAAGUAAGUAAUUUCACUGUAUGUUUUGGUGUACCUGUGACAUAAAGCUAACCUCUGGAAGUAUGUGGAUAAAUGGAUCAGUGUUGAUGCACAAGAGGAUCAGCACCGACAAAGUACAAAUCCAUCCAUCUACAAAUAGUUGUGUGACCAUCAGAGGAAGAGGGACCGGAAGGGAGCAUCUCACUCCGCAACUGUUGUUCCAUUUUGAACAGUGAAGUGAAGAGGGCAAAUGGAAUGUUGGCCUUUAUUACAAGGGUAAUUGAGUACAAGAGCAAGGAUGUCCUUUUGCAUUUGUACGGGGCCCUGGUGAGACCACACCUGGAAUAUUGUGUACAGUUUUGGUCUCCAGGUUUAAGGAAGGACAUUCUGGCAAUUGAGGAAGUGCAGCGUAGAUUCACUAGGUUGAUUCCUGGGAUGGCAGGGCUGUCUUAUGCAGAGAGAUUGGAGAGAUUGGGCUUGUACACGCUGGAAUUGAGGAGAUUGAGAGGGGAUCUGAUUGAAACGGUUAAGAUAAUUAAAGGAUUUGAUAGGAUUGAGGCAGGAAAUAUGUUCCAGAUGUUGGGAGAGUCCAGUACCAGAGGGCAUGGAUUGAGAAUAAGAGGUCGGUUAUUUAAAACAGAGUUGAGGAAAAACUUCUUCUCCCGAAGAGUUGUGGAGGUGUGGAAUGCACUGCCUCGGAAGACAGUGGAGGCCAAUUCUCUGGAUGCUUUCAAGAAGGAGCUAGAUAGAUAUCUGAUGGUUAGGGGAAUCAAGGGAUAUGGGGACAAGGCAGGGACUGGGUAUUGAUAGUGAAUGAUCAGCCAUGAUCUCAGAAUGGCGGUGCAGACUCGAGGGGCCGAAUGGUCUACUUCUGCACCUAUUCUCUAUUUUGAAAUAUGGUGGAGACGAAUGUUCCUCCAACAGUAGAUGUCCACAAGUGUAAGCAGCCGUUGAGUCCAGGAGACCAUGGGUUUGUGCCUCUGGUGGGCUGUGUCCUCUACAGGGCGGGAAGAUUUGAAGAACUGCCUGUUGCCCAUGCAGCGGGUCCCCCCUCUCCACGUCACUGAUGUAGUCGGCACCAGUGUCGUAGCAGAGGUUGCUACAGUGAAUUUGUAAACAGCACCAAACUGCCUUAGGGAUCCCGGCUCCGGAUUUCUUCCUCGGGGUCGGGGUUUUUAUCCCAAAAUCUUUCCCAUGGGUGGGUAUGGCCGCAAUGCAGCGGAGGUUUAAAAUCAGUUUUCCUUCUCGGCGGGCUGCUAACAACGUUGAUGAGCAGAGGCACUUGGGAUAUGGAUGUAUUCACAGGGAGGUGUCGCGGAACCUUUAUAAAACAUCGUUUUCAGUUGCAUCCAUCACUGUUAGAAUAUUAAGGCAUAUCAGAGGUUGUGGAAGAUGCUGGUGGGAUCCUUUAGUUGGGACUACUUUUCCUCACAGAAGGCUGACAGUGCUCUCUCCGAAAGAAGCAUGUAGACCCUGGUAGGCCGGCCAGUGGGAUGUGCUCUCUGUUUACAUAUGUAAAUUAAAGAGGAAAUGAAAUUUUAAAAGAGGAAACACUUCCAUGUUGUCUGAGGUUGGAAACUGCAAUGCCCUUCUGCAGAAGUCAGCGCCGUCCGGCCGCGGCCCCGGCCCUCUCCGAGCACACAGCUGACCGUUUUGUGCCGAGACAUCACCGGGAGAAGGCUCUGUGACAAUUUGGUGGAAUGGGCCAUCGGGAAUCUGCCUAUCCUACCUCCUGUCGGGAUACAGGCCCUACCUAUCCCCUCUUGCCAGCCAUCCAAACCCAAUACUGC
This is an RNA transcript of Hypanus sabinus (Atlantic stingray), 9365 nucleotides long. It is a transcript of the gene named oxidative stress induced growth inhibitor 1, with no coding region annotated. The transcript is spliced from 4 exons. NCBI's taxonomy places the organism in Eukaryota, Metazoa, Chordata, Chondrichthyes, Myliobatiformes, Dasyatidae. The record is from RefSeq and is a predicted model, not a curated record.